RNAcentral lists this ribosomal RNA (374 nucleotides) under uncultured bacterium. Its description in RNAcentral is "bacterial SSU rRNA". It matches the Rfam family "Bacterial small subunit ribosomal RNA", at positions 1133 to 1506 of the family's 1533-position model. The record is from RNAcentral.
UUUCACUCUAGCGAGACUGCCGUUGACAAAACGGAGGAAGGCGGGGACGACGUCAAAUCAUCAUGCCCCUUAUGUCCCGGGCUACACACGUAAUACAAUGGCGGUCAACAGAGGGAAGCAAAACCGCGAGGCAGAGCAAACCCCUAAAAGCCGUCUCAGUUCGGAUUGCAGGCUGCAACUCGCCUGCAUGAAGUUGGAAUUGCUAGUAAUCGUGGAUCAGCAUGCCACGGUGAAUACGUUCCCGGGCCUUGUACACACCGCCCGUCACACCAUGAGAGUUGGGAACACCCGAAGUCCGUAGUCUAACCGCAAGGAGGGCGCGGCCGAAGGUGGGCCUGAUAAUUGGGGUGAAGUCGUAACAAGGUAACCGUAAA